GAAAUAGCAAUGAUAAAGAGUAGUACAUUUGUUUUUGUUUUGUAGAGAGUUUGUGGCUGGUGAAAACAAACAAACAAAACUUAUGGAAUGGACUUUGGAGCACUAAAAAUGAACAGAGGAUUCCUCUUAUUAGUUUUUGGCGAGUAAUCUCACGUUAAUGGGAUUCCAUGAAUUAUUUCAUGGAACUAAGAGGCACAAUAGUUUACUUGUGCACUUAGGGUGGCACCGCGGAAUCAACCAUUCGUCCCUAUU
Molecule: non-coding RNA, 252 nt
Filed under: Heyndrickxia sporothermodurans
Lineage: Bacteria; Bacillati; Bacillota; Bacilli; Caryophanales; Bacillaceae
Description: Bacillus sporothermodurans T-box sequence
Rfam family: T-box leader
About the family: Uncharged tRNA acts as the effector for transcription antitermination of genes in the T-box leader family. T-boxes are found upstream of many aminoacyl-tRNA synthetase genes and some amino acid biosynthetic genes usually in Gram-positive bacteria. The anticodon of a specific tRNA base pairs to a specifier sequence within the T-box motif, and the NCCA acceptor tail of the tRNA base pairs to a conserved bulge in the T-box antiterminator hairpin.
Source: RNAcentral